GAAAUGCGAUAAGUAGUGUGAAUUGCGGAAUUCAGUGAAUCAUCGAAUCUUUGAACGCACAUUGCGCCCCUUGGUAUUCCAUGGGGCAUGCCUGUUCGAGCGUCAUUUGUACCCUCAAGCUCUGCUUGGUGUUGGGUGUUUGUCUCGCAUGACUGCGUAGACUCGCCUUAAAGCAAUUGGCAGCCGGCAUAUUGGCCUUGGAGCGCAGCACAUUUUGCGUUUCUUGCCAUGAAUGUUGGCGUCCAUCAAGCGUAUUUUUUGCUCUUGACCUCGGAUCAGGUAGGGAUACCCGCUGAACUUAAGC
RNAcentral lists this unclassified non-coding RNA (304 nucleotides) under plant metagenome. RNAcentral's name for it is "partial contains 5.8S ribosomal RNA, internal transcribed spacer 2, and large subunit ribosomal RNA". The stretch from base 1 to 105 matches the Rfam family "5.8S ribosomal RNA", at positions 50 to 154 of the family's 154-position model. The record is from RNAcentral.